AUCAGCUGGUGCAGGGUACGGUGGCCCAGCAGUCCAAAUCACAGAUCGUGACCAAGGAAGUAUGCGGGUUGGAAAAUGAGCAGACCCUUGGAGGUCUUGAUGUGUUAGCCAAUAUGGUUUCAACUGAUCUCCUGCUCCUGAGUAUCUGGGACUACAGGUGUGGACCACCAUGCUCAUUCUGUUGCAUCCAUGCGCAUGUAUGUGGUGCUGGGGAUGGAACCCAGUGCCUUGCACAUGCCAGGCAAGUGCUCUACCACUGAGCUACACCUCAGCCCCCGUGUUGGCAACAAGUAAUUGUUGGAAAAAUCCAUGUGUCAAGGAACUGAAGGGUAUUAUCAAGCAGGAAACUGAGGCUUUCAGCCCAACAGUCUUUGA
Heterocephalus glaber (naked mole-rat) is the source of this 375-nucleotide long non-coding RNA. The record is from Ensembl. NCBI's taxonomy places the organism in Eukaryota, Metazoa, Chordata, Mammalia, Rodentia, Bathyergidae.